RNAcentral lists this ribosomal RNA (270 nucleotides) under Lutjanus aratus (mullet snapper). Its description in RNAcentral is "partial 12S ribosomal RNA". It matches the Rfam family "Bacterial small subunit ribosomal RNA", at positions 1187 to 1533 of the family's 1533-position model. The record is from RNAcentral. Lineage: Eukaryota; Metazoa; Chordata; Actinopteri; Lutjaniformes; Lutjanidae.
AGGUCGAGGUGUAGCGUAUGGAAAGGGAAGAAAUGGGCUACAUUCCCUAACACAGUGAAAUACGAACGAUGCACUGAAAUACGCAUCUGAAGGAGGAUUUAGCAGUAAGCAGAAAAUAGAGCGUUCCGCUGAAACCGGCCCUGAAGCGCGCACACACCGCCCGUCACUCUCCCCGAGCUUACUAACUCUGUAGUACUUAAAACCUUAAAACUGCAAAGGGGAGGCAAGUCGUAACAUGGUAAGUGUACCGGAAGGUGCGCUUGGAAAAAU